RNAcentral lists this long non-coding RNA (1204 nucleotides) under Medicago truncatula (barrel medic). RNAcentral describes it as "long non-coding RNA (MTRU_LNC002398)". Lineage: Eukaryota; Viridiplantae; Streptophyta; Magnoliopsida; Fabales; Fabaceae. The record is from RNAcentral.
AUGAUUCUGAUUUAGAACAUGAAUGAAUUUUAGAGAUAGAGAAAAUAAUUUAGAAAAUCAUAACCCAUUGAAUUGAUUUUCAUUCUCGUCAAUGUCGAUACCCAUUUAACUUUCUUUUCAUUAUACCACAAGGCUAAAACUCUUCUUAAAACAUUCAAUACAUCAAUAUUCUUCUUCUUCAAUCUGAGCUUAUUCUUCUUCUUUCUUCAAACAUUCAAUACAAUAGUAACUAGAAACAACAGAGUAUCAAAUCCAAAUUAUGAACAAACCAAGACAAGAACAGAGGUGCAGGGCGGCGCUGAAGGGAUGGGCGAAGACUAUAGGAAUGGUGGUGGUUGCAUGACGGCGGCGUGGCGCAACGGAGAACGACCCUUUCGUGGAAGGGAGAUUAGUUUUGAAGAGAAAAUUGAUGGACAGAUUCGCACAGAUGACCUUUCUUCUCCUUUCGGCGUUGGUUUUGCUCUGUUCUCCUCCGUAACUGCUCAGAUUCGCACCUCUCUCCUCCGAUUGUUCUCCAAUUUCGUUCGAUUCUCCAGAUCUUGAAGCUUACCUUUCUAGCUUUUCACUGCGCAGGUUUUAUCAGUUUCUUCUCUUUGUUUGUUCAGCGUGGUUUCUCUUCUUGCAUUGAAGGUUUUAUGGCGUUGCUUUGUAGUCCUGCUCCGUUCGUGAGGUUCGUUCCGGUUCGGUCUUGUUGUUGUAAAAAUGAAGGAGGAUGAGAAGACAAAAGGUUUUUUUUAUGCUUUGUUUGGAGGUUUUUUUUAAGGUUGUUGUUGUUGGGGUUCUGUGUUGUUUGGAAAAUGAAGGAGAUCUAAAACAUCGGUUCUAAUAAAAUAGAAGUGGAUCUCAUGUGGUGAAAUGGGUUGUGAAGAACAAGAUUCAAGAAGACGAUUUUUUAGUUUAUUACAAUCAUGUUUUUUUAUUGUGUUUCUUUGGACUUAUUUUGGAAGAAAAAAAUUCUGGAAAAAUGUUGAUAUAGAUUGAGGAAGAAGAAGAGAGAAGAUGAUGAAAAAUAAAAAAAUUAGGUGCUGACGGUUCACUAUAGAUACAAUGGACAUGCAAUCAAACGGUUAAAAUCAAAUCAAAAAAUAUAGACAUUAACAAACUAACGGAGUGGAUCAAUUUGACUAACGGAGCAAAAGUUAAGGGACCAAAAUGAUGAUUUUAAGAGUUAUGGGACCAAAACGAAAACUCGAAAUUAAUUGAG